This 442-nucleotide ribosomal RNA is filed under the name uncultured bacterium. Its description in RNAcentral is "partial 16S ribosomal RNA". It matches the Rfam family "Bacterial small subunit ribosomal RNA", at positions 338 to 795 of the family's 1533-position model. The record is from RNAcentral.
CCUACGGGAGGCAGCAGUGGGGAAUAUUGGGCAAUGGGCGCAAGCCUGACCCAGCAACGCCGCGUGAAGGAAGAAGGCUUUCGGGUUGUAAACUUCUUUUGUCAGGGAAGAGUAGAAGACGGUACCUGACGAAUAAGCCACGGCUAACUACGUGCCAGCAGCCGCGGUAAUACGUAGGUGGCAAGCUGUGUCCGGAUUUACUGGGUGUAAAGGGCGUGUAGCCGGGUUGACAAGUCAGAUUUGAAAUCCUGCGGCUUAACCGCAGAACUGCAUUUGAAACUGUUGAUCUUGAGUACUGGAGAGGCAGACGGAAUUCCUAGUGUAGCGGUGAAAUGCGUAGAUAUUAGGAGGAACACCAGUGGCGAAGGCGGUCUGCUGGACAGCAACUGACGGUGAGGCGCGAAAGCGUGGGGAGCAAACAGGAUUAGAUACCCCUGUAGUC